Molecule: long non-coding RNA, 516 nt
Filed under: Coffea arabica (coffee)
Lineage: Eukaryota; Viridiplantae; Streptophyta; Magnoliopsida; Gentianales; Rubiaceae
Description: long non-coding RNA (CARA_LNC006962)
Source: RNAcentral
CAGCCAUCGGAGCUUUGUCCACCGAAGGAGUAGCAUUUUCCUCAUUUGGUACUUGCUGAAGUCCGGCAAGAGCCUACGGUGGCUGAUAGUCGUAAAGUCCACCACAGUGAGCUCUGCAACAGCUGCCCUUGUCCGCUCGUUACAAAAGCCCUCUACUUUCAUGUGCCUAACUACCAGAACUGUUAAGAGAUUAGCUCGGAUGCUUGCUUAUUUUUUUUUUUUGAGAAGCAGCAGCUUGCUAAAAUGACUGAGCAGUCACUUUUCCUAGUAGAUUUCUUUCCAUUUGCUUCAUUUUUUUUGUUAAUUGGUGGGAUUGUUGCUAAUUUUUAUGGCCUUUGCGGUACAUUUGUUGUCUUUCUGAUCUGAGGAUGCCGGAUAUUCUGAGAUUCACCUACUUGUGAAUAAUUUCAGUUGGAGCCGAGAGAACUCUGUGUGUUUUUAUGUGUAAAAAUGUCCUACUGGUGAGAUCGUAAACUUAAUUGAGGCUGUUUAAUGAAAUUUAUCAGUUAUGACUAG